Scleropages formosus (Asian bonytongue) is the source of this 1597-nucleotide long non-coding RNA. RefSeq lists it as uncharacterized. The record is from RefSeq and is a predicted model, not a curated record. NCBI's taxonomy places the organism in Eukaryota, Metazoa, Chordata, Actinopteri, Osteoglossiformes, Osteoglossidae. The transcript has 3 exons.
UCCUCAGCAGCGGAGCUCCGGCGCGCUGCCGCUGGCCUUGUGCUCCGGCUUAUGCGUUAUUAUAGUUGCAUUCAUUGCAACAUUCACAUUGUGCGCAGCGCGGGGUACCGUCGCGUCAUUUGCCGGCGAUGGAAGGUCGACAUUUGCGCGAAGUUAAGUCGCAAUCGUAGGACGCAGUGACUGACUGUGAGUGUGAGUGUGACUGGCGCCUCCUGCCUCACAGCCAGCUUUUCACCUGACGGCCGCUAAAAUGUAGCGAUGGACAGAACAACAAGCCGUAUGUUUCAGAAGAAACAAGUUCACGCUGUUUUUCGUUUUUUUUUUUUCCGCGAGAUCAGCCCAGUGUUGGGCAAACAUCGACGUUCGCGUUUACUGAACGGUUUAGCCUUUACAUCAUCGACGUUCCGGGAACCCGACUGACUGAGUUAAGUUGAUGCAGUUGUCCACUAGAAGCCCAGGAUCAGGAUCUGAGCUCUGAAAAUCAACCCAUUACCAUGGAAUAUGUGGAAAAGAACAUGACAACAGUUCUACUACACAAGAUAUAUGACUUUUCUAACUCUGGACACCCAGAGACCACCUUUCUUCGGAUGUGGCAACUCCUUGGACCACUUGCGCACUUUCUCAGGUUCUGUGGGGAUAUGCAGUAACAUAUCCCUGAGUAUGUCUCUUCACGUUCACCCAUUUUGUUCCUGACUGAAGAGCCAGGAGCAGUGCUGGACAGAUUUCAUCAUUGGUGCAAGUGCCUGAGAUGGCUGCCUCAGAAUUCGCCAUGUCAUGCUCCCUCACUUCUGCUUCUUGAAGGUGAGCACACCUCAUCUCCUCCACAGUUCAGAAUGCGGAAAGAGGUGGGGAGGAGGGCGUUGGUCCGCUAGUGGGCUUCCAUGUACUUCCUGCAUCUGAACCAGUCUGCCUCUGGGCUCUCUGCACUCAGCUUCUCCUUUCUCCCUCAGAGCUCUUUUUUUCUCACAACAGGCCUUAGUCUUCUGCAGCUGCUCAUUCAUGGCAUUCAAAUGGUCCUUUGACUCCUUCACCUCAUUAUAUUCAGCACUCACUGUGCACUCAUCCAUCUUCCUCUCUGCACUCGUUUCUCAGAUUACUUGCAAUGAUUGACAUCGGGUUCAUACCAGCGGCAAAAGGGUUUGAUCUCCAGAAAUUCAGCACUUUACCACUGGCCUGGUUAGCUCUGUGGAAAUUAGAAAUAUGUACAGGCUUCCAGGAAAGGCUCUGGACAAGUGCUCAUUAAUAAUACAUUCUGUUGCUGUUGUCAUUUUUAAAUGGUAUUAUUUAUUGUAAACUGCUUUAGAGCUGUAACUCGUGUUUUUUUGUGAAGUGUUCUAAGAAACUGUCAAAUGUUUUAUUGUAUUUAUGUACUUUAUUUAGCAACUAAUCCCUCAAAUAUGUCCUUUGUCAAAAUAACAAUAAACCAUUUCCACAGCCAUUCUGUGUUCAUUGUGAAUGGAAAAAAUAAACACAGCUGGUAUGGCUGUGUUCAGCAGCAGUCAAAAGACACAAGAAAAAAGUUAAAACUGAGCUACUGUACCAGUCAGCCGCCUCCACCUGGCACAACAAGGUCAAAGACUGCCAUUGUCAUGCAUUC